CGACUCCAAUUAAGCUUAAGACAGAUUGGGACGACUGCAGGCCCUGCUGCUGGAAGCGUGUGAGUGUGUGUGUGUGUGACUGUGUGUGUGCGCGCGUGUGUAUGUUUGUGUGUGAGUGUGACUGUGUGUGCGCGCGCACGUGCAUGAGUGUGAGUGUGAGAGCGUGUGAGAGUUUGUGCGUGUGUAUGUUUGUGCGUGAGUGUGACAGUGAGUGUGUGCACGCACGUGCAUGAGUGUGUGAGUGUGAGAGCGUGUGAGAGUUUGUGUAUGUGUGUGAGUGUGAGAGCGUGAGAGUUUGUGUGCGUGUGUAUGUUUGUGUGUGUGACAGUGUGAGUGUGUGCGCGCACGUGCGUGAGUGUGUGAGUGUGAGAACGUGUAAGAGUGUGUGUGCGCGUGUGUAUGUUUGUGUGUGAGCGUGAGAGUGUGUGCGUGUGCGCGCGCACGUGUGUGUGGUGUGUGAGUGUCUCUGUGUGUGAGUGUGAGUGUGCGUGAGUGUGCGUGAGUGUGUAAGUGCAUGAUGUGUGCAUGUGUAAGUGUGUGAGGGAGUGUGAGAGUGUGUGCAUGUGUGUGAGAGUGUAUGCAUGUGAGUGUGUGAGAGUGUGUCUGAGUGUGUGUGUGUGUGUGUGUGCGCGCGCGCAUGUGCUGCUUUGACAAAGGAGGGGCUCCGAUCGAGAAACCAGAUGUCGCUUCCGGACCCAAAGGCUAAGCCGGUGGCAGCCUCAGCCGCUAGCUGGAGCCUGCGGUGUGGGUGUGGGACAGUCACUCCUCCCCGCCGGGGCAGGGGCGCUGGUGCUCAGGGGCCCACGGUUGCAGCCUGGAGUGAAUGGUUUGUCGCCUCCUCCAAAAAUAGCAGAGAGCGGGAGUUGGAGUGUUAGACUGGUGCGGCCCCUACAUCAUCACUUAGCCCAAUCUACAAAACUCAAAGACACCCCCAGGGGUUUGUUUCCGUGGUCAUUCCAGACCCCAUCAAGCCGGCAAUCAAGAUCAACCAUCUCAACAUAGAAUUUCUGGGGUCUCCUGAGACUUGUUUCCCCUGGCGCUGUUCUUUCUGGGGUGCGUACCAAGCUCACGACACCGGGGCCUGCGUUCAGUCCUCCGCACUACUGCAGGAGAAGAGGAGGAGAGGAGAGGAAAUGGAGGAGCAGAGAUAUUGAGUAGGGGGAAGAAUAGAGGAGAGAGAGGAGGAUGAGAGAUACCAUAUCAGAGGGAGCCACUAUAGGUCCGAGAAGAGAUCUGGAACCAGGGAGAUCGCCAGAGACCUACAAGG
Molecule: long non-coding RNA, 1267 nt
Filed under: Cricetulus griseus (Chinese hamster)
Lineage: Eukaryota; Metazoa; Chordata; Mammalia; Rodentia; Cricetidae
Description: lncRNA (ENSCGRG00015033071.1)
Source: RNAcentral